This 604-nucleotide long non-coding RNA is filed under the name Salvia miltiorrhiza (redroot sage). RNAcentral's name for it is "long non-coding RNA (SMIL_LNC013035)". Lineage: Eukaryota; Viridiplantae; Streptophyta; Magnoliopsida; Lamiales; Lamiaceae. The record is from RNAcentral.
ACAAUCAUAACCCCACAUAGUUAGGGUUCAUCCAAACCAACAAUCACAACCUCAGAUUCCAAAUAAACAAAAAUCAAAGAGUGAUAGAACCAAAAAUUAUCUUAGCUGGAUCGAGAGAAACUAGGGCUCGAUCUGUGAGCAGAGGAAGGACUUUAGCGGUGUUGCGAUCUCCGACCAAGGGAGACGCGGCGGCGUCAAGCCAGGGCGGCGACCGGCGAUUUCAGACAGAGAAGCUAGGGCUCGACUUCUUCCCUUCAAUUGUGCGCUUCCAGUGAGGGAUUAGAGAGGGAAACCGAGACGAAGAGAAAAAGAGGGAAAGAACGGCGAAAAUCAGUCGCCAGAUUUUACAGAAGCGGCGCCGGAGUUUCAGAGAAUGAUACAUCAGCGGCGGCGGCUCGGACCGCUGCUGUUCGCAGAAGAGAAAGGGAUAAAGGGCCUCAGCGGCGAGGAUGGUGGCGAGGACGGCGGCGCGAACAGCUACGCGGCGGCGAGGACGGUGGAGAAUGGCGGCGAGGAUGGGGGCUGGCGGCGACAGUAGCCGCCUGGUUUGAAGGGAGUAAGGCGGUGGCUAAGAGAAAAGGAAGAGGAGAGAACGGUGAGAGAG